GGCGCCACAGUCCGAGAACGAACUUGGGACUUGCCAAAAAUCUCCAGCAGGGACAGCCCCCACCAUCCCGGCCCCAUGAGCAAAACAGCCCCAGCUUGGUGAACUUACAGAAAUCCACCUGCAGGUCCCGGUAGACCAAGCUGUGGGCGCUUGGAGGUUGUUCCAGUUUGGAAGUGAACGUGAUGAUGGAGUCAGGGAAGAGGAAUGCAGAUCUGGAAGAAUGGGAUGCAAAAAUCAGGAAGUUAACAGAAGAAUUUGAGGAAAGUGACACAGAACUCGAGGAAUGUGACACAGAAAAUGGUAAAGGGGAACUCACAGCUGAGAUAGACAAUCUGACUGCGGAGCUUGAGGAACGUGAUAGAAAAAUUAGAAAACUUACUUCAGACCUUGGCGAAUGUGAUACAAAAAUCAAGGAGCGUGAUAGAAAAAUAACCAAGCUCUCAGCAGAAAUACGUAGGCUCACAGCUCUGCUUGGGGACCGAGACAAACAGCUUCGGAAACUGACUGCAGAACUUGCAAAGUGUGAUGCAACAAUCAGAUUAUUCACGGUGGAACUUGGAGAGCGUCAUACAAAAAUAGGGGAACUUACUGCAGAAGUCGGGGACUACGAUAGGCAACUUCGGAAACACGCAGCAGAACUUGCGGAACGGGAUGAAAAAAUCAGGGAACAUGAAGCAGAGAUAAGGCGUCUUACUGAGCUGCUAGAGGAUCGUGAUUUGGAAGCCCGAAACCAGGAUGCCCUUAUCAUUGAAAUAGUGAAAAAACUGGAAUUAAGAGGCAUGAGUAAAUCUGCCCAUGGUAGAGGAUUUGGUAACCUCAAGUUCCCCCAUCACACCCCUCUCCCAUCCUUGCAAAGGAGAUGAACUGAUUAGAAAAAACAAUAUUUUCUUCUUUUUAAGGAAAAUUGAUUGAAGAGCUUG
RNAcentral lists this long non-coding RNA (920 nucleotides) under Anas platyrhynchos platyrhynchos (common mallard). RNAcentral describes it as "lncRNA (ENSAPLG00000017621.1)". Lineage: Eukaryota; Metazoa; Chordata; Aves; Anseriformes; Anatidae. The record is from RNAcentral.